This 468-nucleotide ribosomal RNA is filed under the name uncultured bacterium. RNAcentral describes it as "partial 16S ribosomal RNA". It matches the Rfam family "Bacterial small subunit ribosomal RNA", at positions 28 to 507 of the family's 1533-position model. The record is from RNAcentral.
GACGAACGCUGGCGGCGUGCUUAACACAUGCAAGUCGAACGGAAAGGCCCUGCUCUUGUGGGGUGCUCGAGUGGCGAACGGGUGAGUAACACGUGAGUAACCUGCCCUUGACUUUGGGAUAACUUCAGGAAACUGGGGCUAAUACCGGAUAGGAGCUCCUGCUGCAUGGUGGGGGUUGGAAAGUUUCGGCGGUUGGGGAUGGACUCGCGGCUUAUCAGCUUGUUGGUGGGGUAGUGGCUUACCAAGGCUUUGACGGGUAGCCGGCCUGAGAGGGUGACCGGCCACAUUGGGACUGAGAUACGGCCCAGACUCCUACGGGAGGCAGCAGUGGGGAAUAUUGCACAGUGGGCGGAAGCCUGAUGCAGCAACGCCGCGUGCGGGAUGACGGCCUUCGGGUUGUAAACCGCUUUCGCCUGUGACGAAGCGUGCGUGACGGUAAUGGGUAAAGAAGCACCGGCUAACUACGUG